UCAGAUGUAAGUGUUGAGCUUCAGAUGGUAAAGACAAUACUACAAUGACCUGACCAAAAGUCCAGAUGAUGAUGCAAUUAUUUGUAGUGAUUAACCCGGUCAAGCAGCUGCAGUGCGUUCAUGAUGUGUACAGGGUUGAUCAGUGGAGAGUAACAGCAGACGCCAGUUAACCUACCGAGGAUAAAAGACAUGAGGCCACUGGAUUGGGUUUCAACAAUUUUUUUUAUCCGUUUACUUUGAGUGUUGUUUAGUGUUAGCAUAAUGUGGAGCCCUAAUUCAUGUCAUUUUAAAAUCCUAUUUUUAAAAAAGCAGUUUGAUGAUAACCUCAUGUUCUUCAGUCUAUUAAGAUAUAUCUGCAUGUCAAUAGCGACCCCCACAUCCACACCACCUCUGCUUUCGUGUGCAACAGCAUUUUAGUUGUCUGCCAGAAGCAUUCAUAAAUAUGUACUUUUUAAUCCAGUUUUCAGCACACUUUUACCAAACACUUUCAAUCUUGGUAUUUUUUAACUAACAGGCUUUUACCCCAGCUCAGGCAACAGGACUUCUAGGCAGAUUUAUGUCCGAUUCUAGGACGACAAUCAGAGGUUAACACCUUGGUUUGUACCAAUGUUUGGCGAUGUAAGAGGACUUACAGAUCAACUAUGAACGUUAAACCUCCAGAACUGUUUGUCAGAGAAGCUAAGGUCACUUUGCAUUAGCUUGUAGCCUCUCUGGCUUGUAUCCAUCAAGGAAACACUUACUUUAAAAGUAAACUGCUUUAUUCAGUGCUGAAGCAGCUUUACUCUCUGGGUCAGUUUGUUUUGGAGAGGAGGAGAGACCCCUGGGAACAUUUUGACCAUAAUGGCAAACUAUGAGUUGCUAUGCUGUCUUUGAUUUGCUUUGAAUGAGGUCCCCCAGUGAAAAAGUCCUCACUAAGCUCAUGUAUCGGAAAAUAGAUAUUGGAUCUCAGCCACUGCUGUGAUGUCACAGAGACGUUUUGCUUUUAAUUAUUUAACAGUUGUUUUGUCUUUUUAAUAUAUGUAGGCUAUUUUCUGUUUUGAAUCUGUUUAUAUUCUGUUUAGCAUUGUUUGAUACGUUUAGUCUGAAAUUUCAAUGAAUUAAUUAAAUCCUCAACAUUGAUUACAGCACUACUGGAGGGUGAUUUUGAUGUAGACUAUGCUUCUUAAAGAAUGAUUUCUAUCUGUUUUCUCAUAUUUUAAAAGGACGAAACUCACUGCAAAUGAAUGUUUUUUGGUUUUUUUUCAUUCACUGAAAGAUCUAGAUGAUGGCUUAUCUGGUUUCUUGUUAUUUACUCUUUUUUUCCUCACAAAAUUCUUAAUGCAUACAUGUAUUUGAUGUGGUAUACACUCCAAUAAACAUACAAUUCAC
Long non-coding RNA from Notothenia coriiceps (black rockcod), 1368 nucleotides. RefSeq lists it as uncharacterized. NCBI's taxonomy places the organism in Eukaryota, Metazoa, Chordata, Actinopteri, Perciformes, Nototheniidae. The record is from RefSeq and is a predicted model, not a curated record. The transcript is spliced from 3 exons.